CCUACGGGUGGCAGCAGUGAGGAAUAUUGGUCAAUGGGCGGGAGCCUGAACCAGCCAAGUCGCGUGAGUGAAGACGGUCCUACGGAUUGUAAACCUCUUUUGCCGGGGAGCAACGGGGUCCUUGCGAGGGCCCGAUGAGAGUACCCUGAGAAAAAGCAUCGGCUAACUCCGUGCCAGCAGCCGCGGUAAUACGGAGGAUGCGAGCGUUAUCCGGAUUUAUUGGGUUUAAAGGGUGCGUAAGCGGCCUUUUAAGUCAGCGGGGAAAGUCUAGGGCUCAACCAUAGAAGUGCCGUUGAAACUGGGGGGCUAGAGUAGGUUUGAGGGGGGCGGAAUGCGUGGUGUAGCGGUGAAAUGCUUAGAUAUCAGGCAGAACCCCGAUUGCGAAGGC
Molecule: ribosomal RNA, 388 nt
Filed under: uncultured bacterium
Lineage: Bacteria
Description: partial 16S ribosomal RNA
Rfam family: Bacterial small subunit ribosomal RNA
Source: RNAcentral